RNAcentral lists this microRNA precursor (61 nucleotides) under Ornithorhynchus anatinus (platypus). Its description in RNAcentral is "microRNA oan-mir-7421 precursor". The record is from miRBase by way of RNAcentral. Lineage: Eukaryota; Metazoa; Chordata; Mammalia; Monotremata; Ornithorhynchidae.
UGUGUCUAGUCCCUAUAUAAUUAAUAAUAAUUGAAUGAAUUAUAUAGGGACUAGACACAAG